UGAACAACCAUAUUCCACUUUGGUGAAUAACACUGGGCAUGCUGCAAACAUGAAAGAUGCAUUUGUUUGAAUCUGGAUCCAACAAAGGAAUAAGAAGAAUCCACUCCCAAAUUCACAUGGAAUCUUGAAGGACUUCCCCCCCCUUCCCCCCCCCCGAAAUAGCCAAAAUAUUCUUGAAAAAGAAGAACAAAGUUGGAGGAUUUGCUUCUUGAUUUAAACCUUACUACAAAGUUGCAGUAAUCAAAACAUUGUGAUACAGGCAUAAAGACAGACAUAUAAACCAGUGGAAUAGAAUAGAGAUCCCAGGGAAAAAAACCCUUACUUAUGUGGUCAAAUGAUUUCCAACAGUGGUGCCAAGACUAUUCAGUAGGGGAAAAGACAAUCUUUUCAUCAAUUGGUAGUGGGAAAAUGGUAUGCAUAUGCAGUAGAAUGAUGUCUGACCCUGAAUUUAUGCCAUAAACAAAAUUAAUUCAAAAUGGGUCAAAAACCUCAGCAUAAGAGCUAAAAGUAUAAAAGUAUAAAGAAGUAUAAAAGUAUAAAACUCUUAGAAGAAAACAUAGGGGGAAAGCUUUACGACAUUGUAUUUGGCGGUGGUUUCUUGGAUAUGACAC
Hipposideros armiger (great roundleaf bat) is the source of this 611-nucleotide long non-coding RNA. RefSeq lists it as uncharacterized. The transcript has 3 exons. The record is from RefSeq and is a predicted model, not a curated record. Lineage: Eukaryota; Metazoa; Chordata; Mammalia; Chiroptera; Hipposideridae.